RNAcentral lists this ribosomal RNA (505 nucleotides) under uncultured bacterium. RNAcentral describes it as "partial 16S ribosomal RNA". It matches the Rfam family "Bacterial small subunit ribosomal RNA", at positions 28 to 507 of the family's 1533-position model. The record is from RNAcentral.
GACGAACGCUGGCGGCGUGCCUAAUACAUGCAAGUAGAACGCACAGUUUAUACCGUAGCUUGCUACACCAUAGACUGUGAGUUGCGAACGGGUGAGUAACGCGUAGGUAACCUGCCUGGUAGCGGGGGAUAACUAUUGGAAACGAUAGCUAAUACCGCAUAAUAUUAAUUAUUGCAUGAUAAUUAAUUGAAAGGUGCAAUUGCACCACUACCAGAUGGACCUGCGUUGUAUUAGCUAGUAGGUGAGGUAACGGCUCACCUAGGCGACGAUACAUAGCCGACCUGAGAGGGUGAUCCGCCACACUGGGACUGAGACACGGCCCAGACUCCUACGGGAGGCAGCAGUAGGGAAUCUUCGGCAAUGGACGAAAGUCUGACCGAGCAACGCCGCGUGAGUGAAGAAGGUUUUCGGAUCGUAAAGCUCUGUUGUAAGAGAAGAACGGGUGUGAGAGUUGAAAGUUCACACUGUGACGGUAUCUUACCAGAAAGGGACGGCUAACUACGUG